Long non-coding RNA from Anolis carolinensis (green anole), 1160 nucleotides. RefSeq lists it as uncharacterized. The transcript is spliced from 3 exons. The record is from RefSeq and is a predicted model, not a curated record. NCBI's taxonomy places the organism in Eukaryota, Metazoa, Chordata, Lepidosauria, Squamata, Anolidae.
GAAGCGCAUGCACAGCAAGAAAAGGGAGGGAGACGUGUGCAUGGCGAGAGCAGGAAGGAGGAAGGCACAUUUUAUUUGCACCGAGACAUGAAAUCCAAUGUCUGACUUGGGCUAAAGAGCAGCCAUGGGAAGACCUGGAUCAGCAGCACCAGAGUAGAUGCAAAAGCUUACAUCAACUCUCCUACAUCAAGUUUAUGAAUUAGUUCACUGCAGCUAGUGUUUAAUAAACAAAAAACAAGUGUGCAACAUCAAACUACAUCCUGAGCAUCAGCACAGUUUUUCCUUCAGGAAUUCUACAUCUUCUAGAAGAACUCUGUGAUCAAUCUCUGCUGGAAGCUGAACACAGAUUCACACCGGAGUACUAGAAAGCCUUAGGAUGCAUCUGUAUUGUAGCUUUGAUGCAGUUUGAUAUUAUGUUAACUUCUGUGGCCCGAUGCCAUAGCAUCAUGGGCGUUGUUCUUUGCUGAGGCAUCACCACUUUUUGGCAGAGAAGGCUACGACUCCUGCGAUUCUAUCACAUUGAGCCAUGGCAGCUAAAGUUGUGUCAAACAGCAUUAAUUCUACAAUAUAGGUGCAUUCCUAAAGAUAGGUCUUCCAGGACUUUGAGAUUCCUAGAGAGUACAUUUUUAAUCAAAUUUGUGAAUCCACAAAAAGACAAAACGGCUGUACAAAAAGCAGAUAGGGUAUUUUGCUUUUUUUAAUUUCUGUAAAUAAUUUUAUUAAAUAUUAUAAAAUCCCAAAAUAUUUAAAACAUGAUACAAAUUAUUGUCGAACGCUUUCAUGACUGGAAUCACUGAACAAACCUCUGAGGAUGCUUGCCACAGAUGCAGGUGAAACAUCAGGAGAGAAUACUACUGGAACAUGGCCAUAUAACUAGAAAAAGCUCACAGCAACCCAUGAUACAAUUGUCUUAUCACAUCUUCUAUUCCCAGAUCAGUACUCUCAGCCCUCCUUAUACUGAAUUACUUAUACUGAAUAUCAUUAUAGGAAUACAGCAUUGUCAAUUCUAUUACUUCUACAUUAUUCUAAUUGUAUCCGUUACAUAUAAUUAUUAUAAUAUGGUCAUUAAUUGUUCAAGCACAAUCUUUCUUGGAUGUUUGGUGGUUAAAAUUCGCUAUUGUUUUUAAUGCAUUAAGCUAAUAAAUGGAUCUAUUACUGUU